RNAcentral lists this ribosomal RNA (254 nucleotides) under uncultured bacterium. Its description in RNAcentral is "partial 16S ribosomal RNA". It matches the Rfam family "Bacterial small subunit ribosomal RNA", at positions 524 to 776 of the family's 1533-position model. The record is from RNAcentral.
UACGGGGGGAGCAAGCGUUGUUCGGAUUUACUGGGCGUAAAGGGCGCGUAGGCGGUCGUGACAAGUCACUUGUGAAAUCUCCGGGCUUAACUCGGAACGGCCAAGUGAAACUGUUAUGCUAGAGUGCAGAAGGGGCAAUCGGAAUUCUUGGUGUAGCGGUGAAAUGCGUAGAUAUCAAGAGGAACACCUGAGGUGAAGACGGGUUGCUGGGCUGACACUGACGCUGAUGCGCGAAAGCCAGGGGAGCAAACGGG